CCCAUUUCGGUUGUGUUCGUCAUUUUUCACCUUGACGAACAAAAGAAACCGAUUAUUUAUCAAAACCCACACACAAAUGAGCAAAAUUCCAGAAUCUGUCCGAGGCAGUACCAGAAUCUAGUACUUGAACUGUUGCUUUAACACAUUUCUUUCUCAUCUGUGGAGAGAGAGAGAGAGAGAGAGAGAGUAGGAAUUUUCAAGAAAUGCAGACGAUUCCAUUAGGUGGGACAUUAAUAUCAACGACAGUGAAUAGCACUAUAGCAGCAUCCUCUCUCUCAAUUUCAAGAAUCCGAAACCAUUUUCCAAGAUUUCCUCUCACCCCAGAUCAGGUAUCAAGAGCCCACUCUUUUACUAUAUACAAUAAAACAAGGAAUUAUGCAUAAUACACGUAUUUAUUAGAUUUAAGGAUGAGAACUCGGUUAUAUUAUGUGGUAUUUAUGUUUCAUACAUGUGUAUGGAUUUGGGCAUGUGUAAAAACAGAUUGGG
Molecule: long non-coding RNA, 486 nt
Filed under: Olea europaea subsp. europaea
Lineage: Eukaryota; Viridiplantae; Streptophyta; Magnoliopsida; Lamiales; Oleaceae
Source: RNAcentral